UUGGAGGGCAAGUCUGGUGCCAGCAGCCGCGGUAAUUCCAGCUCCAAUAGCGUAUAUUAAAGUUGUUGCAGUUAAAAAGCUCGUAGUUGAACCUUGGGUCUGGGUGACCGGUCCGCCUCACCGCGUGCACUGGGAGCCCGGACCUUUCCUUCUGGCAAACCUCAUGCCCUUUACUGGGUGUGUUGGGGAACCAGGACUUUUACUUUGAAAAAAUUAGAGUGUUUAAAGCAGGCAUUCGCUUGAAUACAUUAGCAUGGAAUAAUAGAAUAGGACUUUGGUUCUAUUUUGUUGGUUUCUAGGACCGAAGUAAUGAUUAAUAGGGAUAGUUGGGGGCAUUAGUAUUUAAUUGUCAGAGGUGAAAUUCUUGGAUUUAUUGAAGACUAACUACUGCGAAAGCAUUUGCCAAGGAUGUUUUCAUUAAUCAAGAACGAAAGUUAGGGGAUCGAAGACGAUCAGAUACCGUCGUAGUCUUAACCAUAAACUAUGCCGACUAGGGAUCGGAUGAUGUUAAUUUUUUAAUGACUCAUUCGGCGCCUUACGGGAAAC
RNAcentral lists this ribosomal RNA (546 nucleotides) under uncultured fungus. Its description in RNAcentral is "bacterial SSU rRNA". It matches the Rfam family "Eukaryotic small subunit ribosomal RNA", at positions 548 to 1098 of the family's 1831-position model. The record is from RNAcentral. Lineage: Eukaryota; Fungi.